This 334-nucleotide unclassified non-coding RNA is filed under the name soil metagenome. RNAcentral describes it as "partial contains 5.8S ribosomal RNA, internal transcribed spacer 2, and large subunit ribosomal RNA". The stretch from base 1 to 120 matches the Rfam family "5.8S ribosomal RNA", at positions 35 to 154 of the family's 154-position model. The record is from RNAcentral.
GAUGAAGAACGCAGCGAAAUGCGAUAAGUAAUGUGAAUUGCAGAAUUCAGUGAAUCAUCGAAUCUUUGAACGCACAUUGCGCCCGCCAGUAUUCUGGCGGGCAUGCCUGUUCGAGCGUCAUUUCAACCAUCAAGCCCUGCUUGCGUUGGGGUCCUGCGGCUGCCCGCAGGCCCUGAAAACCAGUGGCGGGCUCGCUAGUCACACCGAGCGCAGUAAUACAUCUCGCUUUGGGCGUGCGGCGGGUUCUUGCCGCUAAACACCCCCUUUUUACCAAGGUUGACCUCGGAUCAGGUAGGAAUACCCGCUGAACUUAAGCAUAUCAAUAAGCGGAGGA